Molecule: long non-coding RNA, 913 nt
Organism: Pantherophis guttatus
Lineage: Eukaryota; Metazoa; Chordata; Lepidosauria; Squamata; Colubridae
Source: RefSeq, a predicted model, not a curated record
AUCCUUCCUGUGAGUCUAGAAGUCAGAGACGCUUCAUUUCACUUGAUAAUAGUGGGAGAGGAGAGGAUGGAGAGGCAAUUUAUGAAUCGUGGGGAGGCUGACUUUGAAGAUGUCCCUUUGAAGAUGUAAUGGUACAGAAUGCAUUAGUGAUGGGAGAGAGCUUCCAGUGAUAUAUAACAGUGGUAUUAUGAAACUGCAUUGCUUGCCAUGGGCUUCUGACUGCAACUAUAAAGUUCUUUAUGACCAGGCAUCCAAGUUUCUGCAGGAUUGCCUGCUUCGGGGAAAAACUGACCUGUCCAAGCUCUGUGAAUUCAAGAAAAAAUUAUUACUAACAGGCUGAGUUGUUCCCUUGGAAUGAUCAUCUCCUGAAGCUCUACUACUGAGAUAUCUCUUAUUAAGCAGGCCUGCAUACAUAUUCCUGAUGUAGUUUAGAGAUUGGCAGCAUUGUGCUGAAUGAAUACCAAUAUGAUUGUGUCUAUGUCUCUAAAAUUGCCCCGUCUGAGUAUUUUCUUUUAGAUUGCUUUAAUUAAAAUAAAUGAAUGGUCAUGCCAACUACGACAGCCAUUCCGUGAAAGCACAUACAGCUGCUAUGAAAAUUCCAAAUGUGUCUCUUGGCACAAAGGGGAUGCCCAUCUCUGGUUUAUUCUGAAUAGACUUCAGAAAUCAAUGAGUUAAUAAACUUAUGUGCUUGUUUAGAGAUUGCUGAAGGAAUAUUAACAGAUUUUACAAAACAAGUGUUUCAUUUAUUUGCAGUUUGCUUUACAGUAAGCUUACUUAUUCUAAGUACUUUUUUCGCACUUACAAACUUUCAGAAGCAUAAAAAGGCAAUCUUUCAUAAUUUCUGUCACAUGUAUGACAUGUAUACCAUGUAACUGCAAAAGCUUGAAGAUGCUGAAUAAAUAGGUGAAAUGUU